AUGGGGAGUGACGGCGCUACUGCCAGGAAUGCCGGCGGUGCCAUGGAUGGCGACUCCGGCAUGGAUCUUGCUUCACCGACCGACAGAAUUCAUGGAAAUGUGGCCAUGGACGGUAACCUGAUGGUUAGUAGAGGUUCUGGAGAUGCCCAGCAGUUGGAGGAUGCUAGGAGGACGAACACGGAUACUACGCGGGUGGUCAUAAAUCCACUGCUGCUAGCAUCAGCGUGCUUUGGCUCGUGGAAGGCAUUGAAUUUUCUUCUCGUCAGGGAAGACGCACAAAAGCCACCAAUGGUGAUGCAGACUCAGGCAUUUAUUCACUUGCUAAUGGGUGACGACGACGGCUCAGCACACCAGGCCUUCGAGAAUGACGUUGAAGAGGGCGUUGAUCAGCUUGCUUUGCCUGAUGGUGGGUAUGCACAGCUCCUCCUCGACGGUGUCAUGGUUGAGGGGGACACUGUACUGCAUGCGGUUGCCAGUCAUGGGGAUGACAGGAAUUAUUUGGAAUGUGCUAACAUUAUCUACGGCAGAGCCAAGCACCUCCUUUUUGCGCUAAACGACAAGGGUGACACGCCCUUGCAUUGUGCUGCUAGAGUUGGGAAUUCAAAGAUGGUUUCUCAGCUCAUUAACCUAGUUACAAGUGAGGAUGAAAGGCAUCAGCUCUUGAGAAAGGAGAACGGGCGUAAGGAGACGGCCUUGCAUGACGCUGUCCGCAUCGGGAACAAUCAUAUAGUUGAUCUGCUAAUGACGGCAGACAAGCAAUUGGCUAACUACCCCAGCGGAGGCAUUUCCCCGUUGUACCUUGCCAUCUUGCUGGAGAAGUACACCAUUGCAAUGACGCUUUACGAAACAAGUGAAGGGAACCUCUCCUACUCCGGACCAAAUGGACAAAAUGCAUUGCAUGCUGCGGUUCGUCGGAGCAAAGGUAUGACAAAUAAGUUACUGACAUGGAACAAGAGCCUUACAACACAAGCGGACAAAAACGGGAGUACGCCUCUUCACUUCGCUUCAGAUCAGUUUAAUAUACAUGGUUUAAGUGUGAGGCAACAAGUCGUGAUGAUCACUAUGUUCCCUUGGCGUCGUUACACCUGUGGUACCCAAAUUCUGAAGCAAGUAUUCAAAGCUAACCUAGCUCAACUGUAUCAACCAGACAAGAGCGGAUUAUUCCCCAUACAUAUAGCGGCAUCCAUUGGCUGCGAAAGAACUAUAGCCAUUUUUAUCGCGAGCUGUCCUAGUAGCGCCAGUUUGCGUGACACAAGGGGGAGGACAUUUCUUCACGUUGUUGUUGAGAAAAAGAUGGGCAAUAUAGUCUCAUUUGUUGGUCGAAAUUCAUCUCUAGCUUGGAUUUUAAACUUGCAAGACAAUGAGGGAAACACGGCACUGCACUUAGCUGCCCAAGCCGGAAAUUUUCGGUUGUGUUGUUCUCUGUUCGGGAAUCCAAGAACGCUCCUAAGUUUGACAAACCACAAUGGACAAACUCCUCUCGAUGUGGCAGACAUUGGCACCAAGUUCUUGAUUUUUCCGCUUACCGAAGGAGACGUAUCUACGGUGCUCAGACAGGCUGGUGCCAAGAGAGGCGUUUGUCGCACGGAUCACUUUGCAGAGAAGUACAAUAUCCCAGCGAAUAAAAUGAAACAAUCAGAGUUGCUGAAAGAUUCAGCACAAAGUACAGGCAUCGUAUCGGUUCUAAUAGCCACCAUGACAUUUGGUGCAACUUUCGCUCUACCUGGAGGUUACAGAGCGGAUGACCACACUAAUGGUGGCACACCAACGCUUGCUGGGAGGUAUGUGUUCAGUGCAUUCCUAGUGGCCAACACAUUAGCUUUUGUUUGCUCUUCAAUAGCUACGGUUGGCAUCAUGUACGCUGGUAACCCUACAAAUAAGAUGUCAGCCCGUAGAGCACACUUUGUGGCAUCUUCGUUCUUCGCACAUGGAUCGGUGACAAGCCUCAGUGUUGCUUUUGCACUUGGCGUAUAUUUGGUGCUAGCUCCCGUUGCACCCAAGACUGCCAUCGCGAUCUGUUUAAUCAGUUCCCUUGUAGUGCUUUACAAUGAAUUUGAAGGUCUAUGGAGAGUAGUUCUUGCCACAAAUUCUAUUCGUAAGAGAUUGGGGUUAAUUAGAGCAAUGAACUCGGGCAUUCCGAGGACCAUUGGAAGAAUCGUUAGGGGAUUUUGGCAAUUUAUAAUCAUUUUUAUUUGGCUUGCAUAUGUCAGCAUAAGUCAGCAACAUUAA
Molecule: ribosomal RNA, 2229 nt
Filed under: Triticum aestivum (bread wheat)
Lineage: Eukaryota; Viridiplantae; Streptophyta; Magnoliopsida; Poales; Poaceae
Description: partial small subunit ribosomal RNA
Source: RNAcentral